Molecule: transfer RNA, 68 nt
Filed under: Pomacea bridgesi
Lineage: Eukaryota; Metazoa; Mollusca; Gastropoda; Architaenioglossa; Ampullariidae
Also listed under: 1 other name
Description: tRNA-Lys
Rfam family: tRNA
About the family: Transfer RNA (tRNA) molecules are approximately 80 nucleotides in length. Their secondary structure includes four short double-helical elements and three loops (D, anti-codon, and T loops).
Source: RNAcentral
CUGUAGAUGACUGAGUUUAAGUGUUAGAUUUUUAAUCUAAAAACGACAGUAUAUCAUGUCUCUAUGGG